This is a long non-coding RNA of Colias croceus (clouded yellow), 207 nucleotides long. RefSeq lists it as uncharacterized. Lineage: Eukaryota; Metazoa; Arthropoda; Insecta; Lepidoptera; Pieridae. The transcript is spliced from 2 exons. The record is from RefSeq and is a predicted model, not a curated record.
GUCAAAUUGUCAAUUCACUAUGAAAAAAUAUUUUGUGAUUUCAGAAUUAUGAUCUUUAUAAAUUUUUUUUAUUUCAAUAUAUGAAACAAAAAGAAGUGAAAAUUUGGCACUGAACGUUGGAUAUUUAAAAAUUAUUUAGCUCUGUAUUAUUUUGGUAUCGCAAUGUAUCCAAUUUUCUAUAAAUUUCCAAGGGCUAUACAACCUUUU